UAUUUUUGUUUCAGGAGGAGCCUCUAAGUAGAUUCUCAAAUUAUUGGUAUUGGCUUCAAAGAUUAUCUUGCUGCAAGAGGGAAGCACUAACAGGAGUUUCAUGCACUCUCACGGAGAAGGAAGACGGAGGAAGGCAAGAAGGCAGAAGAAGAGCAGAUGAAGCGUUACCUGUCAAGUGGAAGUCGAGGUCUUACCUUCAUUGCUCUUGGAUACUGCUGAAUGACAUGGAGAGAGCUUCAAGGAUGAAGAUGAACCAAUUCCACAAAACGUGUGAGGCCAUGAAACAAUGUCCAACUCGAGCGGAAUGAAUCACUGUUGAUAGGGUCAUAGAUGAAAGGGAAACUGAACACACCAAGGAGUAUCUUGUCAAGUGGAAGGAGCUUGGGUAUGGGAAUAUGUCAAAGCAUGUUCUAUAGUAUAUAGUGUAUUCUAGGGUUUCAAAGUUCCUUUCUUUUGUUCACAACCUCUCCUCUGCAUUUUUGGUGCACCACAGGGUAGAGUGUCACCAUAGUUUAGUAGGAGCCAAAUUAAUGUCUCAAGUGGUCAAA
Selaginella moellendorffii is the source of this 548-nucleotide long non-coding RNA. RefSeq lists it as uncharacterized. The record is from RefSeq and is a predicted model, not a curated record. Lineage: Eukaryota; Viridiplantae; Streptophyta; Lycopodiopsida; Selaginellales; Selaginellaceae. The transcript has 3 exons.